This 117-nucleotide ribozyme is filed under the name Aedes aegypti (yellow fever mosquito). Its description in RNAcentral is "drz-agam-1 ribozyme". It matches the Rfam family "drz-agam-1 ribozyme". Lineage: Eukaryota; Metazoa; Arthropoda; Insecta; Diptera; Culicidae. The record is from Rfam by way of RNAcentral.
UGCCCAGCAACUCCUAUCCCUACCUCCUCACGGUACUGGCCGGGGUACGAGUAACCUUAGGGAAGAUCGGGUAACCAACCCCCGGUGGGAACUUUGGUCGUAUGCUGAUAGAGAAGG